Non-coding RNA from Cryptococcus depauperatus CBS 7841, 106 nucleotides. Lineage: Eukaryota; Fungi; Basidiomycota; Tremellomycetes; Tremellales; Cryptococcaceae. The record is from Rfam.
GCCCUCAUGGUGUAGUGGUAACACGAAGGUCUCAUACUUGAGUAUGAAGUCGAUUUGACUAUAAACUCGUAAUCCUCAGCUCCGAGUUCGAUUCUCGGUGAGGGCA